UCUCUGUACGGGCACUUGCCAUGACUUUAUUUUUGAAUAUUUCUGUGUUCAUGUGGUAGGGAAAACAUUGUUGUAUACUACAAAUUCCCUGUUUUGCUUUUAGGUUGGAGACUACAUAAGACUUUGACAGUUGGCGGGAAACCAUCAUCAACUGGAGAGAUGCCGGUAGAGGAAUGUCUGCGACUAAGUCAAGGGCCACUGGAUAAGGGUUGUUGAUGGCAAAACAGGUUGGAGACUACAUAAGACUUUGACAGUUGGCGGGAAACCAUCAUCAACUGGAGAGAUGCCGGUAAAAAGAUGGCCAUAAAACAGUGACCGCUGAUUCGCAUUGAGUUCUUUCUUACAUAUUGGAUGACCUAUAUUUUUUAUUGUUUAA
This is a long non-coding RNA of Dreissena polymorpha, 376 nucleotides long. RefSeq lists it as uncharacterized. The transcript has 3 exons. NCBI's taxonomy places the organism in Eukaryota, Metazoa, Mollusca, Bivalvia, Myida, Dreissenidae. The record is from RefSeq and is a predicted model, not a curated record.